This 569-nucleotide ribosomal RNA is filed under the name uncultured bacterium. Its description in RNAcentral is "partial 16S ribosomal RNA". It matches the Rfam family "Bacterial small subunit ribosomal RNA", at positions 356 to 918 of the family's 1533-position model. The record is from RNAcentral.
UGGGGAAUUUGGACAAUGGGCGAAAGCCUGAUCCAGCAAUGCCGCGUGUGUGAAGAAGGCCUUCGGGUUGUAAAGCACUUUUGUCCGGAAAGAAAUCCUUGGCUCUAAUACAGUCGGGGGAUGACGGUACCGGAAGAAUAAGCACCGGCUAACUACGUGCCAGCAGCCGCGGUAAUACGUAGGGUGCAAGCGUUAAUCGGAAUUACUGGGCGUAAAGCGUGCGCAGGCGGUUUGCUAAGACCGAUGUGAAAUCCCCGGGCUCAACCUGGGAACUGCAUUGGUGACUGGCAGGCUAGAGUAUGGCAGAGGGGGGUAGAAUUCCACGUGUAGCAGUGAAAUGCGUAGAGAUGUGGAGGAAUACCGAUGGCGAAGGCAGCCCCCUGGGCCAAUACUGACGCUCAUGCACGAAAGCGUGGGGAGCAAACAGGAUUAGAUACCCUGGUAGUCCACGCCCUAAACGAUGUCAACUAGUUGUUGGGGAUUCAUUUCCUUAGUAACGUAGCUAACGCGUGAAGUUGACCGCCUGGGGAGUACGGUCGCAAGAUUAAAACUUAAAGGAAUUGACGGGG